Molecule: long non-coding RNA, 1303 nt
Organism: Lolium perenne
Lineage: Eukaryota; Viridiplantae; Streptophyta; Magnoliopsida; Poales; Poaceae
Source: RefSeq, a predicted model, not a curated record
UUUAUCCCCUUUCUUUUAUCCCCCGUUUUUCUCAUUUGCAGGACCAAUGGAGGAGGCCGACGAACCAACCACAAAGAAUCUUUCUCCCCAACUCAUCCCAUCUCCCUACAACAACAUCUUAUCUCCCUAAUUUGCCGUUUGAGCGCUGGAUCUAUUUUUCUCUUUUUCCCUCUCUUAAUACCUUGCAUAAUCUGAUUAUUGCAUUGUUUCAGGAGGUUCAUGAGUUUGAUGUACUAGAUGGAGGAGCAGACUGUUCUGGUUCCGCUCAAGAUGCAGCAACGACAGCAGUUCGCUGCGAUUCAGCCAUAGUACAUCUUCCAGACCAUGCCCUAGCUCGCGGCUGUCUUCUCGGGGACCAAUGAUGCUACCGUCUCCGCGCCGCCGGCCGUGUUGGCCAUGGCCUUCUACCCUCCUCCACCGCCGUCGGCUUCCACUACACCAAUGCCCUGGGCCGAGACGCCAUUGGUGACAGGGUCUCAUUCCAGCAGGCGUCCCCUGGGGUCGACAGCAUGGCUUUCGCAACAGCUGCAGCACCGGCCAGGGCUAACAACAAGAAAAGCUGCUCAGUCUACUUGGAGUGAAUGACAGCGUAUACAGGAUUACAGAAUCCACGAUAGGACAUCUAGCUAGGCUCUGGUCAUGGCAGGAGGCUGCAGCUGCUCAAGAUCUGGGAGUAAAGCACAGAACGGCUGGGUGCGCUGCGCAGGGGCAUCGCAUUCACCGGCGAGAUUAGGUGAACUGAGUUAUUUCUGGAGAAUCUGGUUAUGGUCGAUUUUGUUAUGGAGAUUCCUACAUAGUUUUGCAGGGUGCAUUUCAGUGAAGACAACGCAUGGGUCGUGUGCCACCCUUGUGCCAGCUUUGGAGCAGCUGGAGAAUGUGGACUCUGCGUUGAAGUUUCCGAAGUUUCCGACAGCUAUAUGUAAUUCGUCUAGCUGGCCCUUGUGUUUGAACAAAUUUUUAUUGAACGAACCAAGGCAUGUACACGUACUUGCUAAUUUUCUGUUGAUUUUGCUAGCAACCGGUGGUGGUUGUAUUGCUGUCCUACGGCUCAUUCAGCUAUUUCAUUUGUGUUGCUUGAUAAUUCACCGAUGAAAAUCUGUAACAACCGAACAACCUUUACUAGAUGGUAAACUUUCCUUCGGAUUUUGUGGCCAAACAGCAGAUUACUUUCCACCUGAUCUGUUUAUUUUUGCAUUGGACCAUUUAUACGUGCAAGGUAACUCUUGGUCAUUUGUUAUUGAGAUGCUACUACUCUUUGUCCAUAUGUCUCUUGAUAUAAACCGAAGUGGUCAUCUGCUAUUUA